AAUUUCACACCUGGAUGUGCUCACUCAACCAAGAAUAUAGAGAAAGAGCUUCUGCCCUGAGACUCAGAAAAAUAUUCUCUGCCUCGGUUCAGUAUAGAUUCUAGACCCUGGUCAUUGCCCGAGAGAUAUUCACUGGGG
Molecule: non-coding RNA, 138 nt
Organism: Oryctolagus cuniculus (rabbit)
Lineage: Eukaryota; Metazoa; Chordata; Mammalia; Lagomorpha; Leporidae
Source: Rfam